Micropterus dolomieu (smallmouth bass) is the source of this 622-nucleotide long non-coding RNA. RefSeq lists it as uncharacterized. The record is from RefSeq and is a predicted model, not a curated record. NCBI's taxonomy places the organism in Eukaryota, Metazoa, Chordata, Actinopteri, Centrarchiformes, Centrarchidae. The transcript has 2 exons.
UCUCCCUGCAUGUUACACUGUGAGGCGGGGGAUUGGCUGGACUUCGGCAAGCCUGGUUGAUCCCGCCUCCCACCUCCGACGAUUCCGAUUGGAGCGGCACACCACCCCUACUCCAAUCGCCAAGCCGCCUGCAGGACCGCCUUCGUGCCUUCCCCCUCAAAUAGGCUGGUCUGCUGCUGAUUCAGGGCAGCUACCUUUUGCCAUGUGGUUUGCCCUGACGCUGGUCCUAACCUUGAACUCUGUGUGUGCAUGUAUCCUCAGUGGAAACAGCUUCUGUGUUUGUGAGACCUGGGUAUUACUGAGAGUUGGUAACUCACCUGGGAUAGUCUACAGACUUGGGCUAGGGGAAGCUCGUUCACUGAUUACCCACACCUGGUAGUUAAAUAUUUGUUUAGUGACACUAGGUUUAGGGGUGCUGCGCUCCCUGUGUUUUUCCACUUCUGAGCAACGGCUAGAGAGGUUUUUGUUUAUCUUUUUUCAAGUAGUUUAGUAAUCCCCCACGUAGGAGGGAUCUCUUUUUGUUAUAUUUGGUUCUUUGUUUUACGCAGCACCCACUUGCCCAUUUUCUGUUUGACUAAUUUGUGUGCAUCCGACUGCUUAAUAAAUAAUCUUUCCACCCAUA